Molecule: ribosomal RNA, 324 nt
Filed under: uncultured eukaryote
Lineage: Eukaryota
Description: partial 18S ribosomal RNA
Rfam family: Eukaryotic small subunit ribosomal RNA
Source: RNAcentral
CCCUUAGAUGUUCUGGGCUGCACGCGCGCUACACUGAAGCUAUCAACACGUUUUCCCUCCCUGAGAAGGGCGGGUAACCUUUUGAAACAGCUUCGUGGUAGGGAUCGGGGCUUGCAAUUGUUCCCCGUGAACCAGGAAUUCCUAGUAGACGCGAGUCAUAAGCUCGCAUCGAUUAAGUCCCUGCCCUUUGUACACACCGCCCGUCGCUACUACCGAUUGAACGUUUUAGUGAGGCAUUUGGACCGACGCAUCUCAGUUUAACCGCUGGUUUGUGUUGGAAAGACUUCCAAACUUGAGCGUUUAGAGGAAGUAAAAGUCGUAACA